CCCUUAGAUGUUCUGGGCCGCACGCGCGCUACACUGACGGAGGCAGCGAGCGUGUCCUUCGCCGGCAGGUGGGGGCAAUCUUGCGAGUCUCCGUCGUGCUGGGGAUAGAUGGUUGCAAUUGUCGAUCUUGAACGAGGAAUUCCUAGUAAGCGCGAGUCAUCAGCUCGCGCUGAUUACGUCCCUGCCCUUUGUACACACCGCCCGUCGCUACUACAGAGUGCCCGUGUCCAAGAAACGGUCGGACCUGUGCGGCCUCUCCGGGCGACCGGAGGGCCGUUACGGGGAAGACCCUUUAUUUGACGCGGGUCGAUGAAGUAAAAGUCGUAACA
This 329-nucleotide ribosomal RNA is filed under the name uncultured eukaryote. Its description in RNAcentral is "partial 18S ribosomal RNA". It matches the Rfam family "Eukaryotic small subunit ribosomal RNA", at positions 1470 to 1796 of the family's 1831-position model. The record is from RNAcentral.